CCGAACACUUGUUUUAGAGGAUUAAACCUUUGAAGAGAGGUUAGUAACUUGGUUGAUUCCUAGAGGUUGAAGCAGUCAAAAAUAAGGAGAAUCCUCAUUUGUUGAUAGGUUGAACUGCAAUAGUGAAAUCUAACCAAACUUGAGCGAUGUAAGAAAUUAGCAUAAAAAAAUCAACUUUAGAAUACACCUUGAAAAGAGAAAAGAAAACAAGUUUGGGGGUGUGUGAAUCCCACGAGCGAGGUAAGGAAAUAUUUGACUUUUAAGGUCAGAAAUUGGGUCAAUUUAUUAUUGUACAGCGUUAUGCUUAACUCUCCACACACACACUCGUUUGCAUUGAAUGAGCGAGGAUUUGACGCAUGCAUUAUAGUUUUGAAGUACUUCAUGAAUUUGACGCUGUGUUUUUAAUCU
RNAcentral lists this long non-coding RNA (408 nucleotides) under Olea europaea (common olive). RNAcentral describes it as "long non-coding RNA (OEUR_LNC005970)". The record is from RNAcentral. Lineage: Eukaryota; Viridiplantae; Streptophyta; Magnoliopsida; Lamiales; Oleaceae.